Molecule: ribosomal RNA, 253 nt
Filed under: uncultured bacterium
Lineage: Bacteria
Description: partial 16S ribosomal RNA
Rfam family: Bacterial small subunit ribosomal RNA
Source: RNAcentral
UACGUAGGGUGCGAGCGUUGUCCGGAAUUAUUGGGCGUAAAGAGCUCGUAGGCGGUUUGUCGCGUCGGCCGUGAAAUCUCCACGCUUAACGUGGAGCGUGCGGUCGAUACGGGCAGACUUGAGUUCGGCAGGGGAGACUGGAAUUCCUGGUGUAGCGGUGAAAUGCGCAGAUAUCAGGAGGAACACCGGUGGCGAAGGCGGGUCUCUGGGCCGUAACUGACGCUGAGGAGCGAAAGCGUGGGGAGCGAACAGG